RNAcentral lists this ribosomal RNA (206 nucleotides) under uncultured bacterium. Its description in RNAcentral is "partial 16S ribosomal RNA". It matches the Rfam family "Bacterial small subunit ribosomal RNA", at positions 568 to 774 of the family's 1533-position model. The record is from RNAcentral.
CUCGUAGGCGGAUUGGCAAGUCAGAAGUGGAAUCCAUGGGCUUAACCCAUGAACUGCUUUUGAAACUGUUAGUCUUGAGUGAAGUAGAGGUAGGCGGAAUUCCCGGUGUAGCGGUGAAAUGCGUAGAGAUCGGGAGGAACACCAGUGGCGAAGGCGACUGUCUGGUCUGUAACUGACACUGAGGCGCGAAAGCGUGGGAGCAAACA